Molecule: ribosomal RNA, 442 nt
Filed under: uncultured bacterium
Lineage: Bacteria
Description: partial 16S ribosomal RNA
Rfam family: Bacterial small subunit ribosomal RNA
Source: RNAcentral
CCUACGGGGUGCUGCAGUAGGGAAUCUUUCACAAUGGGCGAAAGCCUGAUGGAGUAACGCCGCGUGCAGGAUGAAGGCCUUCGGGUUGUAAACUGCUUUUAUAAGCGAGAAAUAUGAUGGUAACUUAUGAAUAAGGAUCGGCUAACUACGUGCCAGCAGCCGCGGUCAUACGUAGGAUCCGAGCAUUAUCCGGAGUGACUGGGUGUAAAGAGUUGCGUAGGUGGCAUAAUAAGUAGCUAGUGAAAUCUGGUGGCUCAACCAUUCAGACUAUUAGCUAAACUGUUAAGCUCGAGACCGUUAGGGGUAACUGGAAUUUCUAGUGUAGGAGUGAAAUCCGUAGAUAUUAGAAGGAACACCAAUAGCGUAGGCAGGUUGCUGGGACGGUUCUGACACUAAGGCACGAAAGCGUAGGGAGCAAACGGGAUUAGAUACCCCAGUAGUC